GUUUAAACAUAAUUAAAUUUUCUUUUUUAUGUAUGUUUGUUCUAACUCAAAAACAUUUAUGUUAAAUUCUUUCUUUGUUGUUUUAGGUUUUUGGAUUUUUUUUUUUUAAUUUUGAUAUAAAAUUAUUCUCUUAUUUCUUUCUUUCUUUUUUAUUUUUUAUUUUAUAGUAAUUAACUUUUUAUGUUAUAUUCUCUUUUAAUUUUUUCAUUAUUCAUUAUUUAUGUACUCUAUUAUUAAUUUUUUUACAUAUAUAUAUGUAUAUAUAUAUAUUUAUUCUUCCAAUUAAAUUAAUUUAUGUUUCAAAUUUUAUUUACAUUCUCUACGUUUUUUUUAGAUUUAUUCACCUUUAAUGUUAUUUUUUCUUUAUAUUUUAAUUCUGUUCAGAUUUUGUUUAUCCCAUUUUAAAGUAUCUUACUUGUAUUUCAAUCUUUCCUAACCUCUUUGAAUCUUAGAUAUAUUUUCUCGUUUUUUUUCAGAAUUAAUUAUGUUAAAUAUUUUUUUCUGCUUUUUCUUUUGUUGAUUUUUACAUCGACAUUGCUCUCUCUUAUUUAAUAUAAUUUAAUUCCUUAAAUUUAUUUAUUUUAAAGUUAAAUUCAAUUGUUGUGUUUUGAUUAUUUUAAAUUCGGUUAUUAAAUUUGUCAAAUUCAGUUUUAUAUUAUGUUCUCUUUCUAUUUUUUCACUUUUUAUGAAUUUAUUUAAGUUUUUUGUUAAAUUUCUUUUCUGUUUUUAUUUUUGUUUUUACUUUUAUUUAAAUUUAAUUAAUUUUUUUAUUGAAUUCCUUCUUUCCAUUAUAAUUAUUUAUUAUCUUGUUAAAUUAGUAAUUCUACUAAUAAUUUUUUUUUUUUCCAAUAGGUAUAUCUUUACAGGAUUCCAAUUCCACAAGCAACAAAAAUUAAUUUAUGUAUUAUAUUAUAUUUCAAUUUUUCGCGCGAUUUUUGAAUGAAAAAAAUAAGCAUUAAGAGCCAGCCAAUCAGAACAUCCCUUAAUUCGAAACGCGGGACGAAUAGGUGCGCAUCGCAGUGCGCAUCGGAGUGCGCAACGCAGUGCGCAUCACACUGCGCAUGUCGUCAGUCUACAGUUGAAAAUUGUGCGGAGUGGAUGUGUCGUCGCGAAUUCGGAUUACGCAAUUUAAUUGAUAGCGUAUGGUAAUAUUCUCGAAGGCGGGAAAAAAUCCAAUAUGGACGCCAUGGACGUGUUGGUGACUUUCUUUCGUGGUAAAAAUUUUAUAUUUCGAAUUUUCUUCAGCUUUCAAUGGUAUAUCUUUACAGGAUUCCAAUUCCACAAGCAACAAAAAUUAAUUUAUGUAUUAUAUUAUAUUUCAAUUUUUCGCGCGAUUUUUGAAUGAAAAAAAUAAGCAUUAAGAGCCAGCCAAUCAGAACAUCCCUUAAUUCGAAACGCGGGACGAAUAGGUGCGCAUCGCAGUGCGCAUCGGAGUGCGCAACGCAGUGCGCAUCACACUGCGCAUGUCGUCAGUCUACAGUUGAAAAUUGUGCGGAGUGGAUGUGUCGUCGCGAAUUCGGAUUACGCAGUAAGUUAUUUUACUUUUAUUAUUACCAAAUUUAUCAAUUAUUGUUAAUUUAGUUUUUCAAAUAAUCCAUUCGGUAUAGUGAAAACGAAAUUAAUUAGUUCUUUGCGUAUCUUUGUGUCUUUUCCUUCGAUUGUUCAUUUUGCGUCUAUUGCGUCAUUAGUGUCCCGUAUCGGAAUAUUUCGAGACAGAAUUUGAAAUCAUAUAUUGGUUUUUUUUAUGAUAUAAUUUUAAUCGUAUUACGUACGUUUAUUUUACAAUUUCUUGAUCUUUAUUUUUUAUCAUUUUAGUCAUAUUAAAGUAAAAGAACUUUUUUACGGUUUAUUACGUAUUCAUUUCGUGAAGUCGAAGUAUCAUUCAAGUGCAUAUUUUUCCGAAUGUAUAUAUAUUGCGUCUUCUCGCGUAUAUGUUUAUUGUUUACUUUUUUUGGUCUAUCGUUUAUAAUUUGCUCGAGGCUAGAAACAUUUCUUAUGAUAUUUCACUUCUGAGAAAUUGGAUUUGUGUUCAAACAUGUUUCGACUUGUCGAGCGUAUCCCCUCUCCAUCUUGUUAUUCGAUGCGCGAAAUCGAAGCGCAAAGUGACAUUGUUCGUUGAUUCUUCGUGACGACUAGACAUUUGAAAUUUUCUCGAGAUAUAUGUUCUAUUUAUUGCACAGUAUUUUAAUAUUAUUUUUUUUAUACUACUUUUGUUAUUAUUUGUGCGUUAAUUAAUACACGUUUAUUCAGUAUUUUAUUCAACAUUGUUAGAAUUGGUAGUUUUUUGACAAUUAAAUAAUUUUGAGUUUCUCGUUCGUAUCUCAUAUAAUUCGAGUGUCGAAUUACAAGAUGGCUUAUAUCGUGAGUUUUUAUUUGAUUUGGUUUAUUUUGAUACUUUAAUAUAAUCUAAUUUUAUACAUAUUAUUCAUUUACUUAGAAGUUUUGAUUUUCUUCUGCGCAGAUUUAAUUGAUAGCGUAUGGUAAUAUUCUCGAAGGCGGGAAAAAUCCAAUAUGGACGCCAUGGACGUGUUGGUGACUUUCUUUCGUGGUAAAAAUUUUAUAUUUCGUAUGUAUAAAUUUUUAUUCUGUUUUCUUGAAUUAUUUAAUUUAGAUUGUUGUUAAGCAAUUCAUAAUAAAAUUACGUUCUAGUUAAAGAAAAAUGAAAAAAUUAAAAAUUUAUGAGAAAUUUUAAUGAUUUAUCAUUGGAAAUUAAAUUUUAAAAUCUGAUAAUGAAUAUUUUAUUAAAUUUCAGAUAUUAAUAAAUAAUUGGUAACAUUUUUAUACGUAAUUCAUGAUCAGUUAAAAUGGAAAGGCAAUAUUUCCAGAACAAAUGCUCGAUAAGAAGAAGAAAAAUAUCAAAAAGAUAUUUCUUUUUCUUCUAUUCCCCAUCCCUCUACUAAUUUAAUGUUAAUUUCAGAAAAUAUUUGUGACCGCGCGCAAUGCGGUUAAUAGAAUCAGUGUUUGCUUCGUCAUAGUAUUUUGAAUAUUUUUUAGAGCACAACAGCUCUUAUUAAAUUUAAUUAGAAUAAUCAAACGCGAAGAUAGAAUCAGUGUUUGUUCGCCGAUUAUAAUAUAUACGGACGCGUUAUUAGAGUUUCUUAUUUUUUAUUUUUUUUUUUAUUCUCAAUAUUCGUUUUCGGCACAGGGUAGAGUCAGUGCUUCUCUCAAGAGAAUAAGGCGAUCAUCCACCACGCGAAGAGAUGCUGAUGAUCUUUAUGAAGAUUUUUGGAUUUUAAUCUUAAAAAAUAUUUGUGACCACGUGCAAUGUGGUUAGUAGAAUCAGUGUUUGCUUCGUUAUAGUAUUUUGAAUAUUUUUUUAGAGCACAACAGCUCUUAAAUUAAAUUUUAAUUAGAAUGAUCAAACGCGAAGAUAGAAUCAGUGUUUGUUCGCCGAUUAUAAUUUAUACGGACGCGUUGUUAACUUCUUAUUUUUAUUUUUUUUUAUUUUAAAUAUUCGUUUUCGGCACAGGGUAGAGUCAGUGCUUCUCUCAAGAGAAUAAGGCGAUCAUCCAUCACGCGAAGAGAUUUCUUCUACCUGAUGACUUCCUGAUGUACCUGAUGGGCUAUGGUAACAGUGAAGGCGUUCGUCGCAUCAUAUGGUGAGUCGCAUGGUUUUUGGUUCCUCCGGUCACUCAACCAUGUCGUAGGAUGAAAGAUCCGAAUCGACACGAGUGACUGGUUGUAUACGUAGAAUUUUGCACGAGCACAAUGACCGCGGAUAUUUAUUUAUAAUAAUUAUCCGCGAGUAGUAACGAUUAUUUCUUUUGUGUUUUAUUUAUUAGUUCAGGCUAGGGUCUUCUUACGCUUCGCGUUUUUGAUUAAUAUAAAAUGUUUAGUAAUUUUAAUAAUGCCAAAACAUAUAAUAAUUAUUAUUAUAUAAUUAUCAGUG
Apis cerana (Asiatic honeybee) is the source of this 3889-nucleotide long non-coding RNA. RefSeq lists it as uncharacterized. The record is from RefSeq and is a predicted model, not a curated record. Lineage: Eukaryota; Metazoa; Arthropoda; Insecta; Hymenoptera; Apidae.